RNAcentral lists this small RNA (27 nucleotides) under Bombyx mori (domestic silkworm). RNAcentral's name for it is "ovarian small RNA-33342". Lineage: Eukaryota; Metazoa; Arthropoda; Insecta; Lepidoptera; Bombycidae. The record is from RNAcentral.
UGCAAGAAAGGAAAAAGUUUUGAUUGU